UAAUAGAUAAUAAAUAAUUAUGUUUAAAAAAAUUUAUUAAAGGUUUAUUUUAUAUAUAAAUUAUAGUGUUAAAUUAUUAUUAUUUUAAUAAUAAUAAUAUUAUUAUUAUAGUAAAUAAAAUUAAAAAUUUAAGAAAUUAAGAUUUAGUAAUACAAAAAUUAAUAACAAAUUUUGUGCCAGCAGUUGCGGUUACACAAAAAUUAAAUUGAAUUAUUUCAGUUUAUAAAUAAUAAAUUAAAAUUAAAAUAAAUAUUAAAUUAUUAGGUAAAAUUUUAAUUUAAUUAAAUUUUAUGGUUGAAUUUAUGUUUUAAUAAAUUUUAAAUUAAACUAGGAUUAGAUACCCUAUUAUUAAAAAUUUAAAUUAUAAUACUAAAAUAGUAAAUAAUUGUUUAUUGAAACUUAAAUAAUAUGGCGGUAUUUUAGUUCAUUUAGAGGAAUCUGUUUAAUAAUUGAUAAUCCACGAUUAAAUUUACUUAAUUAAUAAUUUUAUAUAUCGUUGUUAAAAAAAUAUUUUUAAUUAAUAAUAAUAUUUAAAAAUUAAAAUAAAAAAUUAAUUCAGAUCAAGAUGUAGAUUAUAAUUAAGAAUAUAAUGGAUUACAAUGAAAUUAUUUAAAUGGAUAUAUUAUUGAAAAAUGAUAUUGAAGGUGGAUUUAAAUGUAAUUUUAUUUAAUUAGAUAAAAUGAUUUAAAAUUAAAAUAUGUACAUAUUGCCCGUCACUUUCAUUUUAAAGUUGAAAUAAGUCGUAACAAAGUAGAGGUACUGGAAAGUGUUUCUAGAAAA
This 780-nucleotide non-coding RNA is filed under the name Parantica sita. The record is from RNAcentral. Lineage: Eukaryota; Metazoa; Arthropoda; Insecta; Lepidoptera; Nymphalidae.